AAACUCAAAGGAAUUGACGGGACCCGCACAAGCGGUGGAUGAUGUGGUUUAAUUCGAUGCAACGCGAAAAACCUUACCCACCUUUGACAUGGCAGGAAUCCUGAAGAGAUUUGGGAGUGCUCGAAAGAGAACCUGCACACAGGUGCUGCAUGGCUGUCGUCAGCUCGUGUCGUGAGAUGUUGGGUUAAGUCCCGCAACGAGCGCAACCCUUGCCAUUAGUUGCUACGAAAGGGCACUCUAAUGGGGCUGCCGGUGACAAACCGGAGGAAGGUGGGGAUGACGUCAAGUCCUCAUGGCCCUUAUAGGUGGGGCUACACACGUCAUACAAUGGCCGGUACAGAGGGUAGCCAACCCGCGAGGGGGAGCCAAUCCCACAAAGCCGGUCGUAGUCCGGAUCGCAGUCUGCAACUCGACUGCGUGAAGUCGGAAUCGCUAGUAAUCGCGGAUCAGCAUGUCGCGGUGAAUACGUUCCCGGGUCUU
This 480-nucleotide ribosomal RNA is filed under the name uncultured Allobrachymonas sp. RNAcentral's name for it is "bacterial SSU rRNA". It matches the Rfam family "Bacterial small subunit ribosomal RNA", at positions 897 to 1382 of the family's 1533-position model. Lineage: Bacteria; Pseudomonadati; Pseudomonadota; Betaproteobacteria; Burkholderiales; Comamonadaceae. The record is from RNAcentral.